AACGUAGGAGGCGAGCGUUAUCCGGAUUCACUGGGCGUAAAGCGCGCGUAGGCGGUUAGGUAAGUCGGACGUUAAAGCCCCUGGCUCAACUGGGGGAGGUCGUUCGAUACUGCUUGGCUUGAGGGUGAGAGAGGAAAGCGGAAUUCCCGGUGUAGCGGUGGAAUGCGUAGAGAUCGGGAGGAACACCAGUGGCGAAGGCGGCUUUCUGGCUCACUUCUGACGCUGAGAGCGCGAAAGCGUGGGGAGCAAACGGG
RNAcentral lists this ribosomal RNA (254 nucleotides) under uncultured bacterium. RNAcentral describes it as "partial 16S ribosomal RNA". It matches the Rfam family "Bacterial small subunit ribosomal RNA", at positions 524 to 776 of the family's 1533-position model. The record is from RNAcentral.